AGCGAACGCUGGCGGCAGGCUUAACACAUGCAAGUCGAGCGGGCGUAGCAAUACGUCAGCGGCAGACGGGUGAGUAACGCGUGGGAACGUACCUUUUGGUUCGGAACAACCCAGGGAAACUUGGGCUAAUACCGGAUAAGCCCUUACGGGGAAAGAUUUAUCGCCAAAAGAUCGGCCCGCGUCUGAUUAGCUAGUUGGUGAGGUAACGGCUCACCAAGGCGACGAUCAGUAGCUGGUCUGAGAGGAUGAUCAGCCACAUUGGGACUGAGACACGGCCCAAACUCCUACGGGAGGCAGCAGUGGGGAAUAUUGGACAAUGGGCGCAAGCCUGAUCCAGCCAUGCCGCGUGAGUGAUGAAGGCCCUAGGGUUGUAAAGCUCUUUUGUGCGGGAAGAUAAUGACGGUACCGCAAGAAUAAGCCCCGGCUAACUUCGUGCCAGCCGCCGCAGUAAC
Molecule: ribosomal RNA, 452 nt
Filed under: uncultured bacterium
Lineage: Bacteria
Description: bacterial SSU rRNA
Rfam family: Bacterial small subunit ribosomal RNA
Source: RNAcentral